GGAUGUGAAGGCGAUCUGGCUGCAGUGUCUGUCACCCCAUUGAUUAGCGUGGCUGAGUUGGCUGGCCUGGCUGGCUAAGUGGGCGCUCUCUUCCUCCCUCACUGCUUCACUUGUGCCCCUGCUCAGUUGAGGAGAAGGGCCUUCCCCAAAUUCAGGGCCAGUCUUCAGUGAAGGCAA
RNAcentral lists this small nuclear RNA (177 nucleotides) under Cricetulus griseus (Chinese hamster). Its description in RNAcentral is "7SK RNA". It matches the Rfam family "7SK RNA", at positions 1 to 192 of the family's 331-position model. From Rfam's summary of the family: 7SK was discovered as an abundant small nuclear RNA in the mid-70s but a possible function has only recently been suggested. Two independent studies have found that 7SK RNA binds the CDK9/cyclin T complex (known as elongation factor P-TEFb). P-TEFb activates transcription by phosphorylating the C-terminal domain of RNA polymerase II. Lineage: Eukaryota; Metazoa; Chordata; Mammalia; Rodentia; Cricetidae. The record is from Rfam by way of RNAcentral.